RNAcentral lists this transfer RNA (63 nucleotides) under Scolytinae sp. BMNH 1039905. Its description in RNAcentral is "tRNA-Pro". The record is from RNAcentral. Lineage: Eukaryota; Metazoa; Arthropoda; Insecta; Coleoptera; Curculionidae.
CAGGAAAUAGUUUAUUUAAAAUAGUAAUUUUGGAGAUUAUAGAUGGGAAUUUCUCUUUUCUGA